UAAGACUAUAGUCAAUACAAUGACGUGUGAGUUGCAAUCACAAAGAGCCCCCUAAAGCUAGUUUUAA
RNAcentral lists this transfer RNA (67 nucleotides) under Asthenognathus inaequipes. RNAcentral describes it as "tRNA-Ala". Lineage: Eukaryota; Metazoa; Arthropoda; Malacostraca; Decapoda; Varunidae. The record is from RNAcentral.